UGUGUAUGUGUGCAUGCACAUGUGUGUGUAUGUAGAUAGAGGUGCAUAUGUACACAGAUAUGCAUA
Molecule: microRNA precursor, 66 nt
Filed under: Chinchilla lanigera (long-tailed chinchilla)
Lineage: Eukaryota; Metazoa; Chordata; Mammalia; Rodentia; Chinchillidae
Description: miRNA (ENSCLAG00000021124.1)
Source: RNAcentral